ACACACACACUCUCUCUCUCUCUCUCUCUCCACACACACAUACACACAUUCCUUUUAGGAACGUAUGCAUACACUUCCAGCAAGAUACUUGUAUAAUUACACUAUUUUCAUAUAGCAUGACCAACCUUGUUCUUAUCUUAGCAUAAGAAUGAUGCUUCAUGAUGUUGUCAUGAUCUCUCUCUUAUCUCUCUCCUGUCUCUCUCUCUCUCUCUGAAUGGUAGCAUAAGUUAACCACG
RNAcentral lists this long non-coding RNA (236 nucleotides) under Elaeis guineensis (African oil palm). RNAcentral describes it as "long non-coding RNA (EGUI_LNC004522)". The record is from RNAcentral. Lineage: Eukaryota; Viridiplantae; Streptophyta; Magnoliopsida; Arecales; Arecaceae.